UACGGGGGGGGCACGCGUUGUUCGGAAUUCCUGGGCGUAAAGGGCUCGUAGGCGGCCAACUAAGUCGGACGUGAAAUCCCUCGGCUUAACCGGGGAACUGCAUCCGAUACUGGAUGGCUUGAGUUCGGGAGAGGGAUGCGGAAUUCCUGGUGUAGCGGUGAAAUGCGUAGAGAUCAGGAAGAACAUCGGUGGCGAAGGCGCUCUGCUGGACCAUAACUGACACUCAGGGACGAAAGCUAGGGGAGCGAAUGGG
This 253-nucleotide ribosomal RNA is filed under the name uncultured bacterium. RNAcentral describes it as "partial 16S ribosomal RNA". It matches the Rfam family "Bacterial small subunit ribosomal RNA", at positions 524 to 776 of the family's 1533-position model. The record is from RNAcentral.